CGCGUAGGCGGGGAGGUAAGUCGGGUGUGAAAUCCCUCGGCCCAACCGAGGAACUGCGCCCGAGACUGCCUCUCUUGAGUCCCGGAGAGGAAGAUGGAAUUCCCGGUGUAGCGGUGAAAUGUGUAGAGAUCGGGAGGAACACCGGUGGCGAAGGCGGUCUUCUGGACGGUGACUGACGCUGAGGCGCGAAAGCGUGGGGAGCAAACG
This 207-nucleotide ribosomal RNA is filed under the name uncultured bacterium. RNAcentral's name for it is "partial 16S ribosomal RNA". It matches the Rfam family "Bacterial small subunit ribosomal RNA", at positions 568 to 774 of the family's 1533-position model. The record is from RNAcentral.